AGCUCUUUGGAUAUACUGGGUUUACUUUGAGCCACUUCCACCUGUUCGCUGGAUUCACCAACUUGACCAGAGGAAACGGGUAGAACUUUUGAUGCCGUGAUCAAACAAUCUUCAGGAAGAUGACCUGGCCUCUUACAUUUCCAACACUCAUAAGUACAAAGAGCAGAUCUAUUCUUGGACCAUCGAUGACGGUCAUGAUCCCAGAUGUUGCCUCCAGAUUCAGGAACUUCCAAUUUGCAUUUUUGUCCAGAAAAACUCUCAGCUUUGACCUUGCUACUUAAGCCCCCCUGCUGGAGUUUAAGAUUUUGCAGAAGGUCAGAUUUGCAAUCCGUACUGCAGAUGUCUUCUUCAGUCUCAUCACAUAUAUAUUCCCCAUACUUCCCACAUACCACACAAGCAGGUUCUCCUGGAAGAG
Molecule: unclassified non-coding RNA, 415 nt
Filed under: Hevea brasiliensis (rubber tree)
Lineage: Eukaryota; Viridiplantae; Streptophyta; Magnoliopsida; Malpighiales; Euphorbiaceae
Source: RNAcentral